Non-coding RNA from Ictidomys tridecemlineatus (thirteen-lined ground squirrel), 73 nucleotides. The record is from Rfam. NCBI's taxonomy places the organism in Eukaryota, Metazoa, Chordata, Mammalia, Rodentia, Sciuridae.
CGGGAUGUGGCUCAAGUGGUAGCGCGCUCGCCUGGCAUGCGUGAAGCACUGGGUUCGAUUCUCAGCACCACAU